RNAcentral lists this ribosomal RNA (492 nucleotides) under uncultured bacterium. RNAcentral describes it as "partial 16S ribosomal RNA". It matches the Rfam family "Bacterial small subunit ribosomal RNA", at positions 29 to 507 of the family's 1533-position model. The record is from RNAcentral.
AGUGAACGCUGGCGGUAGGCCUAACACAUGCAAGUCGAACGGCAGCACAGUAAGAGCUUGCUCUUACGGGUGGCGAGUGGCGGACGGGUGAGGAAUACAUCGGAAUCUACUUUUUCGUGGGGGAUAACGUAGGGAAACUUACGCUAAUACCGCAUACGACCUACGGGUGAAAGCAGGGGAUCUUCGGACCUUGCGCGAUUGAAUGAGCCGAUGUCGGAUUAGCUAGUUGGCGGGGUAAAGGCCCACCAAGUCGACGAUCCGUAGCUGGUCUGAGAGGAGGAUAAGCCGCAUGAGAAGUUAGACACGGUCCAUGCUCCUAAGGGAGGCAGCAGUGGGGAAUAUUGGACAAUAGGCGCAAGCCUGAUCCAGCCAUACCGCGUGGGUGAAGAAGGCCUUCGGGUUGUAAAGCCCUUUUGUUGGGAAAGAAAAGCAGCAGGUUAAUACCCCGCUGUUCUGACGGUACCCAAAGAACAAGCACCGGCUAACUUCGUG